Molecule: unclassified non-coding RNA, 230 nt
Filed under: Hevea brasiliensis (rubber tree)
Lineage: Eukaryota; Viridiplantae; Streptophyta; Magnoliopsida; Malpighiales; Euphorbiaceae
Source: RNAcentral
AAAAGUUCUACCUCCUUCAUUGACACAAGCACAAUAUAUAUAUAUACACAAGAGCUAUAGCUCACCAAAUCUCCUAAACAAGGUAAACUCCUAAAACUGUACAAUAAGAAAUCUCCUAAACAAGGUAAACUAUCAAAACUUUACGAAAAAAAAAUUAUUCACAAAACUACCUAAACCAAUUAGCUGCCAAGAUCUUUCCUACUUGAUCCAAUACCCCCCUCAAGUUAGAG